This is a long non-coding RNA of Glycine soja, 1248 nucleotides long. RefSeq lists it as uncharacterized. Lineage: Eukaryota; Viridiplantae; Streptophyta; Magnoliopsida; Fabales; Fabaceae. The record is from RefSeq and is a predicted model, not a curated record. The transcript has 2 exons.
GAUCUACGCCUUCUUUAAGACUUUUUCCUCAUGUAUUUGGUAUUCGAAGGGCCACCAAAAAAAGGAGAAACACUUGCAAAAGGUUUUGAUGAUCUUUACAAAUGUGGAAAAUAGGUAUAUUUUCAUAACUAGUGAAAAUAUGUUGCAGUCAUUGCAUAUUGAAACAAAAAAAAGUGACUUCUAAAUGGUAGUUGUUUCCUUUUGGAAGUAAAGUGGCCACUAGUUGCUAGGAUACAACAUUGGAGUGCUUUUCAUUUGGAGUAUCUUUCUUUAAAUGUAGGAAAUUGUUCAACAUUUCAAUCUUGUAAUCAAAAUACUCUUACGCUGGAGGAAAUUUUAUAUUAUGUUGGCAAUUGUAGAUGUAAAAUUAGUGGAAUAUCUAAUUUAUGUUGUUAUGCUACUUGUAUAUGUAACCUUAUGAUUAACCUUGAGCUUAAAUACAUAUUUGAUUUAAUACCCAAUUUAGUUUCUUAAUUUAUUUCAAGUGCUCAAUUAUAUUUUUCGUAUGCAUGUGGAUCUUUUUGUUUUAUAAUUUUAACCAAUUGGAUCAUUUCCGGCAAACUGAGUGGAUGUCCCUCAAGUGAUGAAUCCAUCACUAUAUAUAUUAUUAUUUUAGAAUUAACAAGAAUAAAAAAUAGCGAGAAAUUUAGAUUUGUCUUCGGAUUAGGUAACAGCCAUGAGGCGGUCUCGGCCUCCUCGGGUGUUGAGGUCAACGUCGGAGAAGAAGUGAAGGCCAUCGAGGAAGUACGGACUCAAAGAACGGCGCGACGGGGAUGCGCUGGUGGCGGCAGGCGAGGCAGAGCAUGGCAGCGACGGCCUUGCAUGUGACAUGCGCCGACGCCUGUUCGAACACCUCGCAGAGCGCCACGCGCGAGUGGCGGCGUGGACCUUAGCAUUGCACGUGCCGCAGAGAAACGUUGCCCAAGGAUAAGUUCUUACGAGUUAUUCACCUGUUCAUGAAUGAAAACACCACCUCUCGUCCAACUUGUAUAUAAGGGCUUCUUUUAGUAUGUUUUUCCUCAAUUUUUCAUUUGAAAUAUCGUAACAAUUGUGCUAGCUAGGUUUCGAAUGUUUAGAUUUUUAUUACAACACCAACAUAUCCAUACUGUACUAGGAUUUUGCCAUAUUGAUGUCAAGCCUCAAUCUAAUUAAAGUUUCCUCAGUGACCUGCACCUUCUAAACCUAUUGUAUGCUUCGUCCUCUUCUUCUCUUUGCACAAGCCUCAAAUGGUUGAUGUUUUCACUUUCA